UCUAACAACCACUUGCCCAUGCUUGAGUCCUUCUGAAAACCAUUGUGUACAUGGAGAGAAAAACAGAAAAGCAUAUAGUUGCAUCAUGAUUGAAGUGAAAAUAACUCAAGGAUGAUUGAAGUGAAAAUAUUUCUGAAGGAAGAGGAGAUUUAAAGCAAGGCCGUGCCUGCAUACUCAGGGGAAAGGUAUCCAAAUGUCCAAGAAAGCAAAUAAACCAUUCCUAUAUUCACCAGUCCACAACCAAACCCUAUUCACUUUCCAUUCCCAACACCACAACGCCAUUCCUUCUUCAUCUCCACAUCCCUAUGUGUUAUGGUGUGAGGAGCAUCUCUCACUGUUAUAGCAUAAGAGGGAGGUAUCUACUACACCUUAAAAGAGAGACAAGAAAUUACUAUUCCUAAGAGAACUUGCAAUCUGGGCCGUUUAUUUGACUCUCUCUCCAUUUUCACUCUUUAAUCCUGGCCCUUCAUCUGUGAGACUUUUUCUCCUCUAUUCUACUCGAGCUUGACGUCACAGAACGCGUUGAUGGAGUAUGUGAAGAAGGAUAGGAGUGUGUUCAUGGUUUGAUUUCGUGGGUAAUCAUCAUCCCUCAGGCCCUGUCUCUGUAGCGUGAGCGACGUCCUCUGUUCCAGUGGUUAGGUUUAGGUUUGGUUGCAGAAGGAAUCAGGAAUACGCACUGUUGAGCACAAUUUUGUGUCACCAUGACCCAUGUUUCUUCAAUCCUUUCCGUGUUAGGUGAAAAUCAGAAGGAAGAUAAUAGAUUAUUCAGGAAAUUGUUCAAUUUGUUGUCAGAAGCUGAGCGAAAUCGGAAAGAGUUCCUAUUUCUUCGCCAGUUGAAGCUUCCUUAGAUGUCAGGCUCUACCUACUUCCAAAGGCCAAGCUCUUGCACAUGAGUAUGGUAUCAAGUUCUUUGAGACUAGUGCAAAAACAAACUUGAAUGUGGAGGAGGUUUUCUUUUCAAUAGCAAGAGACAUCAAGCAGAGGCUUGCAGACACAUAUUCUAGAGCUAAGAUGAUUCUAAUGAAUUGGCAAAGAAUAAUGGUGAUGGAGAGGAUACUUUCAAGCUGUCCUAUUCUGAUGCUGAGUGAAGAAUUAGAGGAAAAGAACCUUCAGAAAAGUUUUGUUCCUUGAACAAACCUCAAAGAUGGAUGAGGUAUUUUGCUUGCAUUUGAAUUUGGGGCUGAGGUAUUAAUUUAUGGUUGAGAAAAGAGGUGGGGGCGGUAGUUGUGGACUGAGGUGAUGGUUGUGGUAUGCAAGCAGAUGCUUAAGAAAGGGUGAAGGGUUCCAUAGUUGAGGGAGAAGGAGGUGUCGCGGCUGUGUGUUUUGGGUUAGGGAAGGAGAAGGUUGAGUCAGUGGUGGCGGGACACUAUUCAGGAGAGAACUUUUUUUGUUUGUGUUCCAAUUAUUUUUUGGCCCAACUUAUCCUAGCCGGUUCAUCCUAUUAAUUUUUUUAGCCUAGCUUUUUGUUGGCCCAUGUCAUGUUAUAGGUCAUCUUUUAUCUUUUUAGUUUACCACUUGUCCUUCCCAUUAGUCUACCGUUUAACAGUGAGGAAGGAGAAGAGAGGAUGGUGGAAGGUGAUGGAAAGGAAUAGCAAGAGUGAGAAGAGAAGAUGAUGGAAGGGAAAGGACGAUUUUUGUCAUCCACCGUAGAUAGGGUGAGAAUUAGAAGGAGAAGAGAAGAUGAUGGAAGGGGAAGGACCAAGUGUACGGUUAGGGGAUGACCGAAAAUAUGACAUAUGUUGCUUCAUUGAAGCAAGAAGGAGGACAGAAGAAGGUUGAAGGAGAAGAGAAAAAUUCCACUGUUUGAUUAUCAGGUCUAUGUAGUAACCUUUCUGUCUUAACUUGUAUUGUGGCAAGGCUGAUAUGGGUGCUAUUCCUUUUAACCAACUUUGAAUUUAGAUCUAGCUAGCUACCAUAUGUCAAGUUAUAUCUAAUUGUUUGUAAAUGGUAUUAUAAAACCAAUCAUUGGUUUGCAGUAUGAUAAUGUUUUGUUUUGUUUGAUACAUGUGGUGCCUAGAAGGUUAUUAUCAAAGAUGUUGCUGCUCCGAAUUACACAUCUAGAAAGCCAAGUAAAUAAGUUGCAGGUUCCGUGACUACUUUGUAUUUUUUCUAUCCAAGAACUUACUUUUACAUAAAAGUUUGUGAUAGAAAAGUCUGUUAUUUCAAAUCAAAUGAUAUUAUUUUGGUCAACUCAACUCAAAGGGUUGGAGGGUUUGUCUCAAGAAGAGCUUUUUCUAUGGCAACCUGUGAAGGAUAUCAUUGUAAAUGAUCCAUGAUUAGGUCUCAUUCUCAUUGAUAUUGGUCUUGCCUAUAAACAGCUCUCUCUGUCUCUCUUAGAAGUUCCCCCAGUUUGCAGAUCCUAAGGUCUUUCAAGGAAUAUUGAAGGAAGGAAGAGCUUUGGUUUUCUAGAUCUGAGAUAAAAGUUUAUUUAGUUGAAAAGAUGUCUUCUUCUUUUCCCUUCCAAUUUUUUUUAAAGAUAUAAUUAUGUGGUGUAAUGUGCAUAUAGUAGAUAGAUACUAUGAGGCUUGUGACUUAAUUAGAAAGCAGUUGAGAGGGGGGGGGGAGAAACUGAUAGAGGUGUUCGUUGUAAAAAAGUGUUUUGGCAAUCUUGCGAGCAGCUUUUUUCUGAUAUUGUAGAAACCUUCUAAGUGAAACUUGGGCCCCUAAAUGAGCAAACUAGCAAAGAACAUGAGCAACUUGAAGUCAUUCCUCUUCCAGAAAAAUCUAUGGAUGUUGAAAGGCUAGGACCUGGAAAUUAGUUUUUCAAGAGAAGGUGGAAAAGGAGGCCAGAUUGUAGACAAAGUUGAAAUUGCAGUUCAAAUUACACACAACCAAACCGGUGUCACAAUUCACUGAACAGGUUAUUUUUCCUCUUUUCAUACUUAUUUAAUAUGUGAACCCAUCUUCCAUGUUUCUGAGGCUUCUUUGGAACAUAACAUAGUUGGAGACAAUUUAUAUUUUAUACGUUAGAAAUAUAUUUUAGUCUCAUGUUAAGAAGAUCCAAGAUUCAAACUUAACUCACAAAGUGUUUCUUCUUUAGGAAUUAUUAUCCCCACUUAACUCUUCCUAGAAUCAUAACCUGAAAUACUGAUUAAGAAAUCUUAAUCCUGAUAUUAGUAUACAAUUGAGAGGCAUUUAUUUCAUAGUUUCUUAAAUCCUCACAGAUUAACACUAUGGAUUUUACUGCGAUAAAUUCACACCAAACUCAUGCAAAUGAGAAUUGAAGUGCAUGGUUAAAAGGCAUUAUGUUAAAGAUUCCAUGACAAUGAUUUUGAUUAUUGGUGUUGGCCUGGUCAUCCUCCUAACUUGACACUUUGAACCCAGAGAUUAGAUCCUUGUGGUAUGCUAAGUUUUAUUUUCAGACUUCUGUUGGUUCCACUCCUCUUUCCAUAUGGAAUGUGCCUUUCGUCUUCAAUGGUCUUGAGGUUUGUUAAUUUUUUCAAGGUUUAUUUAUUUAUUUAUUCUUGUGGUUUUUAUCAUGUUUUUGGACUUGGAAUCUUCGUUUGCAAAGUUUUCAAAGCUAACACUUUCAUCUCAUGCAUUCGGUUUAGGGAAAAGGGAAAUAAAUGAUGUGCUUUGUAAGGAACUCAUUAUCACCAGCAUCCAUUUCCAUGAUAAUGAUUGAUGAUAUGCAUGCAGACCUUAUGGCCCAAGCAUUUAUCGUAUAUGCUGGAGAAAUCAUUAGGAUAUAUAAUUAACAAUUUAUCCACAUGGUGACUCUAAUCAUCAAUGACCUCAUAAUUUGGGAUUAUCUAUCACACAAAUGUUUUCUCAAAGCACUAUGUCCAGCAGCAGAUAAAAUACAUGUUGAAAAUUAAUAGAGGCCAGUAUCAUCCCACCUAUAGGUUUCACCCAGAGGCUAGAGUAGUAGCUUGGUUGUUGUGCUUGUGCCAAGUUGGACUUGAGAAGAAGGAGGAUGGGAGUAUGAUGAAAAAUAACAAAACACUCCUGAGUGAAGAUUCAACUAAUGUAAGAAGAUUUUGGAAUUUGGCAGCUUCCUAUGAAGCUAAACCGUCGUGGUAUUUAAUUACUUAUUGCAGGUCCAUGUCUCGAGUUGUUUGCUUUGGCAUCUGAAAUCUUUGUAUUUAUUCAUUUUUGGAGAACUCUAAGAGGUAGCUACUAGGGUGAUGUGUUUAGUCUUUAACUUUGUAAUUGUCUUUGAUUUACUCGGAAGUUUCUCAUGACUAAAGUGUGCCUAAUUGCAGGUACUUGCCUAAAGUUGGUUUGGUAUGAACUUUGCAGGCCAUCGCUUAGUGGUAAUAUCAUCUAUUAGGAUAUUAUCAUGAUUGUGUUGAUUUUUUAAAAAUUCAUAAAAUAGAGAACAACUUUCAUUCAGGUGCUAUUUGGUAUUGGUGAUUUAAAUUGUAACUCAGUCAUGAUUUUGACUUUGGACAUACAAUUCCUAUAUAGAAGUUGUAGGAAAUAUAUGUUAAGAUUUUAUUUUAGUUAAUUUUACCUUAGGAAUGCUAACCAUUGAUCCUAAAUUUAA
Molecule: long non-coding RNA, 4489 nt
Organism: Lotus japonicus
Lineage: Eukaryota; Viridiplantae; Streptophyta; Magnoliopsida; Fabales; Fabaceae
Exons: 7
Source: RefSeq, a predicted model, not a curated record